This 72-nucleotide transfer RNA is filed under the name Capra hircus (goat). It matches the Rfam family "tRNA". From Rfam's summary of the family: Transfer RNA (tRNA) molecules are approximately 80 nucleotides in length. Lineage: Eukaryota; Metazoa; Chordata; Mammalia; Artiodactyla; Bovidae. The record is from Rfam by way of RNAcentral. RNAcentral also lists the same sequence under 1 other name.
UCCCUGGUGGCUCAGAUGGUAAAGCAUCUGCCUGCAAUACAGGAGACCCAGGUUCGAUCUCUGGGUUGGGAA